Molecule: unclassified non-coding RNA, 263 nt
Filed under: plant metagenome
Description: partial contains small subunit ribosomal RNA, internal transcribed spacer 1, and 5.8S ribosomal RNA
Source: RNAcentral
UUUCCGUAGGUGGACCUGCGGAAGGAUCAUUAUUGUAUAACCGAGGUGCGAGGGCUGUCGCUGACCCGAAAGGUCGUGCACGCCCGAGUGCCCUCACACACAAUCAUCUCACCCCUAUGUGCACCACCGCGUGGGUCCCCCUUUGGCUUGUUCGGCGGGGGGCUUACGUUUUCACACAAACUUUGUAUGCAGUGUAGAAUGUAUUUUUUGUUUUUGCGAUCACGCAAUCAAUACAACUUUCAACAACGGAUCUCUUGGCUCUC